GAUGAACGCUGGCGGCGUGCCUAAUACAUGCAAGUCGAGCGAACGGACGAGAAGCUUGCUUCUCUGAUGUUAGCGGCGGACGGGUGAGUAACACGUGGAUAACCUACCUAUAAGACUGGGAUAACUUCGGGAAACCGGAGCUAAUACCGGAUAAUAUUUUGAACCGCAUGGUUCAAAAGUAAAAGACGGUCUUGCUGUCACUUAUAGAUGGAUCCGCGCUGCAUUAGCUAGUUGGUAAGGUAACGGCCUACCAAGGCAACGAUGCAUAGCCGACCUGAGAGGGUGAUCGGCCACACUGGAACUGAGACACGGUCCAGACUCCUACGGGAGGCAGCAGUAGGGAAUCUUCCGCAAUGGGCGAAAGCCUGACGGAGCAACGCCGCGUGAGUGAUGAAGGUCUUCGGAUCGUAAAACUCUGUUAUUAGGGAAGAACAUAUGUGUAAGUAACUGUGCACAUCUUGACGGUACCUAAUCAGAAAGCCACGGCUAACUACGUG
Molecule: ribosomal RNA, 497 nt
Filed under: uncultured bacterium
Lineage: Bacteria
Description: partial 16S ribosomal RNA
Rfam family: Bacterial small subunit ribosomal RNA
Source: RNAcentral